RNAcentral lists this ribosomal RNA (492 nucleotides) under uncultured bacterium. RNAcentral describes it as "bacterial SSU rRNA". It matches the Rfam family "Bacterial small subunit ribosomal RNA", at positions 43 to 581 of the family's 1533-position model. The record is from RNAcentral.
CAGGCCUAACACAUGCAAGUCGAACGAGACCUUCGGGUCUAGUGGCGCACGGGUGCGUAACGCGUGGGAACCUGCCCUUAGGUUCGGAAUAACAGUUGGAAACGACUGCUAAUACCGGAUAAUGUCUUCGGACCAAAGAUUUAUCGCCUUUGGAUGGGCCCGCGUUGGAUUAGCUAGUUGGUGGGGUAAUGGCCCACCAAGGCGACGAUCCAUAGCUGGUCUGAGAGGAUGAUCAGCCACACUGGGACUGAGACACGGCCCAGACUCCUACGGGAGGCAGCAGUGGGGAAUAUUGGACAAUGGGCGAAAGCCUGAUCCAGCAAUGCCGCGUGAGUGAUGAAGGCCUUAGGGUUGUAAAGCUCUUUUACCCGGGAUGAUAAUGACAGUACCGGGAGAAUAAGCUCCGGCUAACUCCGUGCCAGCAGCCGCGGUAAUACGGAGGGAGCUAGCGUUGUUCGGAAUUACUGGGCGUAGAGCGCACGUAGGCGGCUU